Long non-coding RNA from Triticum dicoccoides, 168 nucleotides. RefSeq lists it as uncharacterized. Lineage: Eukaryota; Viridiplantae; Streptophyta; Magnoliopsida; Poales; Poaceae. The transcript has 3 exons. The record is from RefSeq and is a predicted model, not a curated record.
GAAUCCACGGACCAAGGUGUGGAGGCAGGCUGCAGUGCCGCAGUAGGCGGAAGCAACAUACAUCAUUUAUGUCCAUCAAGUCCCGAGAGAACUACUAAUAGCUAGCUGGAAAGAUGUUUUAGAGAAUUUGUUUGGAGGCCGACAGCGGGCUCGAGUCUAUCUCUGUCU